UUCAGAUUGCAGUCUGCAACUCGACUGCAUGAAGUCGGAAUCGCUAGUAAUCGCGGAUCAGCAUGCCGCGGUGAAUACGUUCCCGGGCCCUUGUACACACCGCCCGUCACACCAUGAGAGUCGGGAACACCCGAAGUCCGUAGCCUAACCGCAAGGGGGCGCGGCCGAAGGUGGGUUCGAUAAUUGGGGUGAAGUCGUAACAAGGUAGC
RNAcentral lists this ribosomal RNA (209 nucleotides) under uncultured bacterium. RNAcentral describes it as "partial 16S ribosomal RNA". It matches the Rfam family "Bacterial small subunit ribosomal RNA", at positions 1292 to 1500 of the family's 1533-position model. The record is from RNAcentral.